RNAcentral lists this unclassified non-coding RNA (305 nucleotides) under plant metagenome. RNAcentral describes it as "partial contains 5.8S ribosomal RNA, internal transcribed spacer 2, and large subunit ribosomal RNA". The stretch from base 1 to 105 matches the Rfam family "5.8S ribosomal RNA", at positions 50 to 154 of the family's 154-position model. The record is from RNAcentral.
GAAAUGCGAUAAGUAAUGUGAAUUGCAGAAUUCAGUGAAUCAUCGAAUCUUUGAACGCACAUUGCGCCCGCCAGUAUUCUGGUGGGCAUGCCUGUUCGAGCGUCAUUUCAACCAUCAAGCCCCCGGCUUGUGUUGGGGACCUGCGGCUGCCCGCAGGCCCUGAAAAACAGUGGCGGGCUCGCUGUCACACCGAGCGUAGUAGCAUACAUUCUCGCUCAGGGCGUGCUGUGGGUUCCGGCCGUUAAACGACCUUCAUAACCCAAGGUUGACCUCGGAUCAGGUAGGAAGACCCGCUGAACUUAAGC